Molecule: small nuclear RNA, 107 nt
Organism: Balaenoptera acutorostrata (minke whale)
Lineage: Eukaryota; Metazoa; Chordata; Mammalia; Artiodactyla; Balaenopteridae
Source: RefSeq, a predicted model, not a curated record
GUGCUGGCUUCUGCAGCACAUAUACUAAUAUUGGAAAGAUACAGAGAAGAUUAGCAUGACCUCUGCACAAGGAUGACAUGCAAAUUCGUGAAGCGUUCCUUUUUUCU